AUUGAACGCUGGUGGCAGGCCUAACACAUGCAAGUCGAACGGUAACAGGAAGAAGCUUGCUUCUUUGCUGACGAGUGGCGGAAGGGUGAGUAAUGUCUCGGAAACUGCCUGAUGGAGGGGGAUAACUACUGGAAACGGUAGCUAAUACCGCAUAACGUCGCAAGACCAAAGAGGGGGACCUUCCGGCCUCUUGCCAUCGGGUGUGCCCAGAUGGGAUUAGCUAGUAGGUGGGGUAACGGCUCACCUAGGCGACGAUCCCUUGCUGGUGUGAGAGGCUGACAGGCCACACUGGAACUGAGACACGGUCCAGACUCCUACGGGAGGCAGCAGAGGGGAAUAUUGCGCAGUGGGCGCAAGCCUGAUGCAGCCAUGCCGCGUGUAUGAAGAAGGCGUUCGGGUUGUAAAGUACGUUCAGCGGGGAGGAAGGGAGUAAAGUUGAUACCUUGGCUCAUUGACGUUACCCGCAGAAGAAGCACCGGCUAACUCCGUG
Molecule: ribosomal RNA, 490 nt
Filed under: uncultured bacterium
Lineage: Bacteria
Description: partial 16S ribosomal RNA
Rfam family: Bacterial small subunit ribosomal RNA
Source: RNAcentral